UUGGAGAAUGAGGGAGUAAAGCAAUCCUACAACUCAGAUCAGCCAUAUUUGAAAACAAAACUGAAAAAAAAUUCAAAACCAUUUCAAUAAUAAUGAGGAUUAAUGUACCAAGCCUUCAUGUGAUGGCACAGUCAUCAACAACAUCUUCGUAAGUAAGUGAGUGAGUGUGCCUCAAGUAAGUGAUUCGUUGAUGUUAUUCCAAAAAAUGAUUAAUGAACUCCCCCUAUCGACAAAAAAAAAAUCAAGUGCUUAAAGCUACAAUCUAUUUAAGUAUUAGAGUUCUCAAUAAGUCAUGGACAGGGAGGAAGCAGAGGAAACAAGCUGAGAAUAAAAAAGUGUUUUAAUAAAUAUCAAAACACAUUCUUGGCUACCAUGUGUAACAGCAGAGAUCGCAUAAGGAGAGCUCCCCCGCCUAUUAACCGCUUAGACAUCCAAAGAGUUCAAAAGCCACAAAAGAAUUGAUAAAUGUAAAAAUCAAAGCAAAAUCAACAGAAAAACAAUCAACGAUUGAUGUUUGGUGAAAAUAUUCGAAAUAGGGUCUUAAGCCUUAGAGCCGUCCUCAACAAAGUAAAACGACAACAACUUGGCAACUAGAAACCAGAAAUUGAGUGCAAUGCUAGAAAUGAGUGAGAAAUAUUGAGUGGAAUUGCUAAUAACAAAAGUAUUAAAAAAAAUAAAGAAAAAACCAAAGAAAUACCCUUUUUUUAGUGCUCUUGGGCUUAAGGUAUAGAAUAUAUGGUCUUAAGACCAUGUUCAGUGUGUAUUGGCCAGUUAACAUCAUGGCCAGUUGGAGUAAUACAGCAGCAACAGCACCACUAACAAUCAUGAUGGGGCAUUAUUAGGGACCAAAAAUAAACCAAGAAGAUUUGUCUCGCUACCAUUGGGGAGGCAUUCACUUCACUUUUUAUGGCAUCAUUUUAUUCAUUUCACUUGAAGUUGGAAAAGAAAAAUGAAAAUGAACAUAGCCAAAACAUUAGAGACGCCUAAAACCGAAGAGGCGGCUAGCUACCAAGCUUGGCUUGUAAAUUGACGGAUAUGGAUGGAUGCAAGGACGGACGGACAGAGAUGUUUAUUGUUCGCUGACCAGUCAGUGUCUAUGGAGUGGACCAUGCCCAAAGACCGUAUAAUCCAUAUCAACAAGCAUAUCAUAACCAGUGCUUCCAGUUGUUUCAAGGAGGAGAUCUCAAACAUUCGUAUGAUCAUUACAAACGGCCAUUGCUGGUAUUAUGUUACACUACUAUUAUUAUUAAGCUAUUAUGGAGUGUAGUAAGUAUUGUUGUAGCUGGUAUUGGCAUUUUGCUGGUGUGCUUUUCAUUGGAAAAAAAAUUACAAGACAACAAUAGAAAAGUUUAUUGACUGAACGAGCGCA
This is a long non-coding RNA of Stomoxys calcitrans (stable fly), 1369 nucleotides long. RefSeq lists it as uncharacterized. The record is from RefSeq and is a predicted model, not a curated record. NCBI's taxonomy places the organism in Eukaryota, Metazoa, Arthropoda, Insecta, Diptera, Muscidae. The transcript is spliced from 4 exons.